Molecule: ribosomal RNA, 405 nt
Filed under: bacterium
Lineage: Bacteria
Description: partial 16S ribosomal RNA
Rfam family: Bacterial small subunit ribosomal RNA
Source: RNAcentral
UAAGGAAUAUUGCGCAAUGGGGGAAACCCUGACGCAGCAACGCCGCGUGGAGGAUGACACUUUUCGGAGCGUAAACUCCUUUUAUCAGGAAAGAAUAAUGACGGUACCUGAUGAAUAAGCACCGGCUAACUCCGUGCCAGCAGCCGCGGUAAUACGGGGGGUGCAAGCGUUACUCGGAAUCACUGGGCGUAAAGGACGCGUAGGCGGAUUAUCAAGUCUUUUGUGAAAUCUAGUGGCUUAACCACUAAACUGCUUAGGAAACUGAUAGUCUAGAGUAGGGGAGAGGUAGAUGGAAUUCUUGGUGUAGGGGUAAAAUCCGUGGAGAUCAAGAAGAAUACCCAUUGCGAAAGCGAUCUGCUGGAACCUAACUGACGCUGAGGCGUGAAAGCGUGGGUAGCAAACAGG